GGCGGCAACGACCGAGUUGACGCCAGAACAGCUGUCUUCACAGCAGACAAGUUGCUAAAGGUUUGUUUGGCGUCACGCGUUUGGUUAGUGCCGAACGUAAAAGUUUCUUAAUAUGUGCAGGUGGGCAUUUUAGAGGCAGCCAGAAGCGGGAAUGCGCCUUCUAAUUCGGAGUGCCAAACGGCAUUGAGAGCUACGAACAGUUUCCAUGGAGCAAAAAGUCCAGCCAUUCCUGACGAGGCUCUUGCUGUGCUGUGGAAAAUUCAGCACGUGAUGAAGUACGAUGAAGUCCCCGUCCUAUUUGACUUCACCGCGCUGGUUUACCUGGCAGGAUAUUCGGCUUUCGUUUGUGAAGAAAAGGUAACAUGCCCAGCGUGCAAACUGCAGUUGAAAGGAAAAGCUUCACGCGAGGGUGCAUACCAGUUCGUCUUCAGCCUUGACUAAGGAGGGCUCAGCUACCCCCGACCUCAAGUUGUCUGGUUGUGUAAGCUGGUCUGUACCUUCGCUGAAAAAGCACUGCACUCAGCAGAGAUCCGUCGCUGUGGACAAAUAUGCAAACUGCUCUCAAGUGCUGUACUUCCACACCUCACAAGCUGCCCUCUGAUGUGGUGUUCCGCUUGCAGAGACCCGUACCACUGUGAAGAACUGUGUGAGCUCUUUAUCAAGAAGCUGCUGAGGCCACUCUUGGCCAACUGGGCUGGAGAUCUCAACAGCUCUCUAGAAAAUAUACUAAAACUUUCUCGAAAACCA
Molecule: long non-coding RNA, 747 nt
Organism: Rhipicephalus sanguineus (brown dog tick)
Lineage: Eukaryota; Metazoa; Arthropoda; Arachnida; Ixodida; Ixodidae
Exons: 2
Source: RefSeq, a predicted model, not a curated record